This 253-nucleotide ribosomal RNA is filed under the name uncultured bacterium. Its description in RNAcentral is "partial 16S ribosomal RNA". It matches the Rfam family "Bacterial small subunit ribosomal RNA", at positions 524 to 776 of the family's 1533-position model. The record is from RNAcentral.
GACGGAGGAUGCAAGUGUUACCCGGAAUCACUGGGCGUAAAGCGUCUGUAGGUGGUUUAAUAAGUCAACUGUUAAAUCUUGAGGCUCAACCUCAAAAUCGCAGUCGAAACUAUUAGGCUAGAGUAUAGUAGGGGUAAAGGGGAUUUCCAGUGGAGCGGUGAAAUGCGUAGAGAUUGGAAAGAACACCGAUGGCGAAGGCACUUUACUGGGACAUUUCUGACGCUGAGAAACGAAAGCGUGGGUAGCAAACAGG